This is a small nuclear RNA of Myotis lucifugus (little brown bat), 95 nucleotides long. The record is from Ensembl. Lineage: Eukaryota; Metazoa; Chordata; Mammalia; Chiroptera; Vespertilionidae.
UGAGUGCUCACUAUACUAAAAUUGGAACAAUAUAAAGAUUAGUAUGGCCCCUAUGCAAGGAUGACACCUAAAUUUGUGAAGUGUCCCGUAUUACG